AUUGAACGCUCGCGGCAGGCCUAACACAUGCAAGUCGAGCGAGCGGCGGACGGGUGAGUAAUGUAUGGGGACUGCCCGAUAGCGGGGGAUAACUACUCGAAACGGUGGCUAAUACCGCAUACUAUCGGAUAACCCAUAUGGGAUUAGCUAGUAGGUGGGGUAAAGGCUCACCAAGGCGACGAUCUCUAGCUGGUCUGAGAGGAAGAUCAGCAACACUGGGAAUAAGACACGGCCCAGACUCCGACGGAGGCAGCAGUGGGGAAUAUGGGAAAAUGGGGGCAAGCCUGAUGCAGCCAUGCCGCGUGUAUGAAGAAGGCCUUAGGGUUGUAAAGUACUUUCAGCGGGGAGGCGUUACCCGCAGAAGAAGCACCGGCUAACUCCGUGCCAGCAGCCGCGGUAAUUC
RNAcentral lists this ribosomal RNA (403 nucleotides) under uncultured bacterium. RNAcentral describes it as "partial 16S ribosomal RNA". It matches the Rfam family "Bacterial small subunit ribosomal RNA", at positions 30 to 526 of the family's 1533-position model. The record is from RNAcentral.